CUUUCUUUAUGGACGUCCGACGUGUCCUUUCGGCAAACAAAUAAACAAACAAAUCUAAGAAAAAGUUAAACCCAGCAACAAUAAAGUGACAAAAGUGGGCUACAAUACAGUAAUACAAUUAUAUUGAAUCAGAAUCAGAAAGAGCUUUAUUGCCAAGUGUUUACACACACAAGGAAUGGUCUUGGUGCCAGGAGCUUCCAGCACAGAAAGUACAAACAUAGUGCAGACAUAAGGUAAUAAAAACAACAACAAUAAUAAAGAGAAUAGACAAUAAAUAAUAAGUAACAAUAUAGUAAUAAAAUACAGAGAAAAAGAAAAUGUCAAUAGACAAACAGUAUACAGUUGUAGACAACACUAUACUGCUAAGUGACUUUAUUAUACAGUGACACAGCAGUGAAAACAGGCUGACUCAGAAAGAGAUGCACACAGGACAUAGGGUGAUGCAUGAAGGAGCAAUGAAUCAUUCCUACCCACUGAUUCUCAAGUAGGGCAAGACGAUUGGCUCCCAAGGCGGUUGGCAACAACUGGACUGUGAAUGGACAGGAGUAUGCAGAGGGAAGCGACGGUUCAGGAAAUGAAUUAGGAGAGAUGGAAGUAGGUGGCGGGAGUUAUGAAAAAUGGGAUACAGUUAGAAAUAAUAAACGGAAAAAGAAACAACAGAGUAAAUCGGAUGGAAGUGACUCUGACAGGGGAUAAACUGUAGAAGAAACGAAGAGAGAGGAAUAUAAAGUGUUUGCAAUACUUUAGAUUUGUUUGAAGGUAUGAAUCCAUUACAGUGGACAAAAACGCUGAAUAAGGAAAUUGGUGAAAUAAAGAGUGCUAAAUUUCUAAGAAAUGGAUCAUUGUUGAUUAUUUGUAAGGAUGCAAACCAGCAAGGGAAAGUAAUCAGAAUGAACAAGAUAAAUGGAAAGAGAGUGGAAUGUUCUAUGACUAAUGGAAAGAAAUUCGUAAAAGGUGUUGUCACAGGAAUCCCGGUAAACAUAUAGGUAGAAGAUGUGAAAGAAAAUAUAACAAAUGCAAAUGUAAGUGAAGUCAAAAGUUAAAAACAAAAAGGAAUGGAAGUGUAAGUGAUAGCACCUCGGUUGUGAUCACUUUUGAUGAGGAUGCUCUCCCUGGAAAAAUAUACACAUCUCAAUAAAUUAGAAUGUUGUGGAAAAGUUCAUUUAUUUCAGUAAUUCAACUCAAAUUGUGAAACUUGUGUAUUAAAUAAAUUCAAUGCACACAGACUGAAGUAGUUUAAGUCUUUGGUUCUUUUAAUUGUG
This is a long non-coding RNA of Cyprinus carpio carpio, 1262 nucleotides long. The record is from Ensembl. Lineage: Eukaryota; Metazoa; Chordata; Actinopteri; Cypriniformes; Cyprinidae.